AUUGCCUGCCCAGUGACUGAAGUUAAACGGCCGCGGUAUCCUGACCGUGCAAAGGUAGCAUAAUCACUUGUUCCUUAAUUAGGGACUUGUAUGAACGGCUAAACGAGGGUCCAACUGUCUCUUAUUUUUAAUCAGUGAAAUUGACCUUCCAGUGAAGAGGCUGGAAUUUCUUAAUAAGACGAGAAGACCCUAUGGAGCUUAAAUUUAAACUUAUUUAUUAACCUCAUAUCCCUAAUGGAAUAAAAACAAUACUAUAAGCCUAAAAUUUUGGUUGGGGUGACCUCGGAGAACAGAAAAUCCUCCGAACGAUUAUAACAUAGACUAACAAGUCAAAGUAAUCUACUUUCUAAUUGACCCAAACAAUUUGAUCAACGGACCAAGUUACCCUAGGGAUAACAGCGCAAUCCUAUUUAAGAGUCCAUAUCGACAAUAGGGUUUACGACCUCGAUGUUGGAUCAGGACAUCCCAAUGGUGCAGAAGCUAUUAAUGGUUCGUUUGUUCAACG
This 505-nucleotide ribosomal RNA is filed under the name Praomys degraaffi. RNAcentral's name for it is "partial 16S ribosomal RNA". It matches the Rfam family "Bacterial large subunit ribosomal RNA", at positions 1854 to 2586 of the family's 2925-position model. Lineage: Eukaryota; Metazoa; Chordata; Mammalia; Rodentia; Muridae. The record is from RNAcentral.